UACAGAGGUCUCAAGCGUUGUUCGGAUUUAUUGGGCGUAAAGAGCGUGUAGGCGGCCAGACAAGUCUGCUGUGAAAACUCGAGGCUCAACCUCGAGCUGUCGGUGGAAACUGUCUGGCUAGAGUCCGGAAGAGGAGAGUGGAAUUCCUGGUGUAGCGGUGAAAUGCGCAGAUAUCAGGAAGAACACCUAUGGCGAAGGCAGCUCUCUGGGACGGUACUGACGCUGAGACGCGAAAGCGUGGGUAGCAAACAGG
RNAcentral lists this ribosomal RNA (253 nucleotides) under uncultured bacterium. RNAcentral's name for it is "partial 16S ribosomal RNA". It matches the Rfam family "Bacterial small subunit ribosomal RNA", at positions 524 to 776 of the family's 1533-position model. The record is from RNAcentral.